UUGCUGUGAUGACAGUCUUAGGACACCUUUGGAUUAACCAUGAAAAGAAAAAUCCUCUGAGCAAC
Molecule: small nucleolar RNA, 65 nt
Organism: Suncus etruscus (white-toothed pygmy shrew)
Lineage: Eukaryota; Metazoa; Chordata; Mammalia; Eulipotyphla; Soricidae
Product: small nucleolar RNA SNORD58
Exons: 1
Source: RefSeq, a predicted model, not a curated record